GCCCUGCUGAAAAACGCCUGUGUCGGUUCGGCCGACGCCAUUAACACGUUUUCGUCCAGUUUUGUUUGUUGUUGUAAAAUGUACACCCCUGUGCCCGCUCUGAUUGUUAGACAAGCCAUUAUUCUUGGCUGACAGCGCUCAGCUCCCGCUCCUCUGCCAGCCGGCCUACAGGCGGAGAGAGAUGAUGACGGUAAAGCACACGCUCGACUGCGGAUGAAAGAACCGACGUUAAACUACAGCUCAGUUCUACGGGUGCAGACAGGGGACAAAAAGGACGUUCACCUGCAGUACUGAGAGCAGGCCAUCAGGCUGCUAACUGUUCCCAGAGUACGAACUUGAACAUGGACAAGCAGCAUUUAGAUACUCAAACAUCCAGAAAACAGAAGACUUGCUUCGACCACCUUUAAAUCCAUGUUAAGAAUUUGUAUGUUCUUAAUCUUUAUGGUAAAUGGUCUGCACUUGUAUUGGGCCUUUCAAGUCUUCCGACCACUCAAAGUGCUUUCAUACUACGUCACGUUUUUUAAUACGUUUUUGAUGCAUUAUGUAA
Long non-coding RNA from Micropterus dolomieu (smallmouth bass), 547 nucleotides. RefSeq lists it as uncharacterized. NCBI's taxonomy places the organism in Eukaryota, Metazoa, Chordata, Actinopteri, Centrarchiformes, Centrarchidae. The record is from RefSeq and is a predicted model, not a curated record. The transcript is spliced from 5 exons.